Long non-coding RNA from Anguilla anguilla (European eel), 223 nucleotides. RefSeq lists it as uncharacterized. The transcript has 3 exons. Lineage: Eukaryota; Metazoa; Chordata; Actinopteri; Anguilliformes; Anguillidae. The record is from RefSeq and is a predicted model, not a curated record.
AGAACUCUUAAGACGGUCAUUUCAAACAGUGGAAGGGUAAGAACUGGACAACCAGCUAGGUACUGAGCGACAAUCCUUGGUUUCUGAAUUUCCCACCAAGACAUGAUGAGUCAAUCUCUGCAAUCGGUAAAGCCUGGUGAUUUGAUCGAGAUCACUAGAAAAGGUGGACUAUAUAAACACUGGGCCCUGUGCGUGACAGAAAAUGAAGUCAUUCACAUUGACC